This 2902-nucleotide ribosomal RNA is filed under the name Klebsiella pneumoniae. RNAcentral's name for it is "23S ribosomal RNA". It matches the Rfam family "Bacterial large subunit ribosomal RNA". The record is from RNAcentral. Lineage: Bacteria; Pseudomonadati; Pseudomonadota; Gammaproteobacteria; Enterobacterales; Enterobacteriaceae.
GGUUAAGCGACUAAGCGUACACGGUGGAUGCCCUGGCAGUCAGAGGCGAUGAAGGACGUGCUAAUCUGCGAAAAGCGUCGGUAAGGUGAUAUGAACCGUUAUAACCGGCGAUGUCCGAAUGGGGAAACCCAGUGCAAUUCGUUGCACUAUCGUUAACUGAAUACAUAGGUUAACGAGGCGAACCGGGGGAACUGAAACAUCUAAGUACCCCGAGGAAAAGAAAUCAACCGAGAUUCCCCCAGUAGCGGCGAGCGAACGGGGAGCAGCCCAGAGUCUGAAUCAGCUUGUGUGUUAGUGGAACGGUCUGGAAAGUCCGACGGUACAGGGUGAUAGUCCCGUACACCAAAAUGCACAGGUUGUGAACUCGAAGAGUAGGGCGGGACACGUGGUAUCCUGUCUGAAUAUGGGGGGACCAUCCUCCAAGGCUAAAUACUCCUGACUGACCGAUAGUGAACCAGUACCGUGAGGGAAAGGCGAAAAGAACCCCGGCGAGGGGAGUGAAAAAGAACCUGAAACCGUGUACGUACAAGCAGUGGGAGCACCUUCGGGUGUGACUGCGUACCUUUUGUAUAAUGGGUCAGCGACUUAUAUUCUGUAGCAAGGUUAACCGUAUAGGGGAGCCGCAGGGAAACCGAGUCUUAACUGGGCGUUAAGUUGCAGGGUAUAGACCCGAAACCCGGUGAUCUAGCCAUGGGCAGGUUGAAGGUUGGGUAACACUAACUGGAGGACCGAACCGACUAAUGUUGAAAAAUUAGCGGAUGACUUGUGGCUGGGGGUGAAAGGCCAAUCAAACCGGGAGAUAGCUGGUUCUCCCCGAAAGCUAUUUAGGUAGCGCCUCGUGAACUCAUCUUCGGGGGUAGAGCACUGUUUCGGCUAGGGGGUCAUCCCGACUUACCAACCCGAUGCAAACUACGAAUACCGAAGAAUGUUAUCACGGGAGACACACGGCGGGUGCUAACGUCCGUCGUGAAGAGGGAAACAACCCAGACCGCCAGCUAAGGUCCCAAAGUCAUGGUUAAGUGGGAAACGAUGUGGGAAGGCACAGACAGCCAGGAUGUUGGCUUAGAAGCAGCCAUCAUUUAAAGAAAGCGUAAUAGCUCACUGGUCGAGUCGGCCUGCGCGGAAGAUGUAACGGGGCUAAACCAUGCACCGAAGCUGCGGCAGCGACACUAUGUGUUGUUGGGUAGGGGAGCGUUCUGUAAGCCUGCGAAGGUGACCUGUGAGGGUUGCUGGAGGUAUCAGAAGUGCGAAUGCUGACAUAAGUAACGAUAAAGCGGGUGAAAAGCCCGCUCGCCGGAAGACCAAGGGUUCCUGUCCAACGUUAAUCGGGGCAGGGUGAGUCGACCCCUAAGGCGAGGCCGAAAGGCGUAGUCGAUGGGAAACAGGUUAAUAUUCCUGUACUUGGUGUUACUGCGAAGGGGGGACGGAGAAGGCUAUGUUAGCCGGGCGACGGUUGUCCCGGUUUAAGCAUGUAGGCUGGUUGUCCAGGCAAAUCCGGAUAAUCAAGGCUGAGGUGUGAUGACGAGGCACUACGGUGCUGAAGUAACAAAUGCCCUGCUUCCAGGAAAAGCCUCUAAGCAUCAGGUAACAUCAAAUCGUACCCCAAACCGACACAGGUGGUCAGGUAGAGAAUACCAAGGCGCUUGAGAGAACUCGGGUGAAGGAACUAGGCAAAAUGGUGCCGUAACUUCGGGAGAAGGCACGCUGGUGUGUAGGUGAAGUCCCUGCGGAUGGAGCUGAGACCAGUCGAAGAUACCAGCUGGCUGCAACUGUUUAUUAAAAACACAGCACUGUGCAAACACGAAAGUGGACGUAUACGGUGUGACGCCUGCCCGGUGCCGGAAGGUUAAUUGAUGGGGUUAUCCGUAAGGAGAAGCUCUUGAUCGAAGCCCCGGUAAACGGCGGCCGUAACUAUAACGGUCCUAAGGUAGCGAAAUUCCUUGUCGGGUAAGUUCCGACCUGCACGAAUGGCGUAAUGAUGGCCAGGCUGUCUCCACCCGAGACUCAGUGAAAUUGAACUCGCUGUGAAGAUGCAGUGUACCCGCGGCAAGACGGAAAGACCCCGUGAACCUUUACUAUAGCUUGACACUGAACAUUGAGCCUUGAUGUGUAGGAUAGGUGGGAGGCUUUGAAGCGUGGACGCCAGUCUGCGUGGAGCCAACCUUGAAAUACCACCCUUUAAUGUUUGAUGUUCUAACGUUGGCCCCUUACCGGGGUUGCGGACAGUGUCUGGUGGGUAGUUUGACUGGGGCGGUCUCCUCCCAAAGCGUAACGGAGGAGCACGAAGGUUAGCUAAUCCUGGUCGGACAUCAGGAGGUUAGUGCAAUGGCAUAAGCUAGCUUGACUGCGAGCGUGACGGCGCGAGCAGGUGCGAAAGCAGGUCAUAGUGAUCCGGUGGUUCUGAAUGGAAGGGCCAUCGCUCAACGGAUAAAAGGUACUCCGGGGAUAACAGGCUGAUACCGCCCAAGAGUUCAUAUCGACGGCGGUGUUUGGCACCUCGAUGUCGGCUCAUCACAUCCUGGGGCUGAAGUAGGUCCCAAGGGUAUGGCUGUUCGCCAUUUAAAGUGGUACGCGAGCUGGGUUUAGAACGUCGUGAGACAGUUCGGUCCCUAUCUGCCGUGGGCGCUGGAGAAUUGAGGGGGGCUGCUCCUAGUACGAGAGGACCGGAGUGGACGCAUCACUGGUGUUCGGGUUGUCAUGCCAAUGGCACUGCCCGGUAGCUAAAUGCGGAAGAGAUAAGUGCUGAAAGCAUCUAAGCACGAAACUUGCCCCGAGAUGAGUUCUCCCUAAGACUUUAAGUCUCCUGAAGGAACGUUGAAGACGACGACGUUGAUAGGCCGGGUGUGUAAGCGCAGCGAUGCGUUGAGCUAACCGGUACUAAUGAACCGUGAGGCUUAACCUU